CACACACCAAAAGCACUGCGACACUUGUGAGACCAAACAGCGUCCGGUGGCCACAUCGGCCAUGGCCAAACACUCGCAGCCAGACGACCCAGAGCCGGGGUGCCUGGCCGAGCUAGCAGGCGUCCCAGAGGGAGCCGUGUGGCCAGCACAGGGCCACCUCCGCCGCGUCGCCGACGACGCCGGUGGCCCAGCCCGGCGGGUCCAGGAGCAUGGCCUCCGCCAUCUCGGCCCAGAGGCUGGGCGAGUCCAGGUCCAGCUCGAACUCCUCGUCGCUCCCGAGCUCGACCACCGGCGCCGGCCCGGCCCCGAACUCGUGGUCGUGGUCGUAGUCGUGGCACCGCGCUGCCGCCGCCUGCUGGAGCAGCAGCAGCGCCGGGUCGCAGCGCACGCGGU
RNAcentral lists this unclassified non-coding RNA (393 nucleotides) under Zea mays. RNAcentral describes it as "misc RNA Zm00001eb423110". The record is from RNAcentral. Lineage: Eukaryota; Viridiplantae; Streptophyta; Magnoliopsida; Poales; Poaceae.